RNAcentral lists this transfer RNA (74 nucleotides) under Corynebacterium marinum. RNAcentral describes it as "tRNA-Val". It matches the Rfam family "tRNA". Rfam says of the family: Transfer RNA (tRNA) molecules are approximately 80 nucleotides in length. Their secondary structure includes four short double-helical elements and three loops (D, anti-codon, and T loops). RNAcentral also lists the same sequence under 1 other name. Lineage: Bacteria; Bacillati; Actinomycetota; Actinomycetes; Mycobacteriales; Corynebacteriaceae. The record is from RNAcentral.
GCGCUCUUAGCUCAGUUGGAAGAGCAACUGGUUUACACCCAGUAGGUCGGCGGUUCGAGCCCGUCAGAGCGCAC